UGCCAUCAUUUAGUUGGGCACUCUGAAAGAACUGCCAGUGAUAAGCUGGAGGAAGGUGGGGAUGACGUCAAGUCCUCAUGGCCCUUACGUGUUGGGCUACACACGUGCUACAAUGGUAUCUACAACAGGAAGCAAGACUGCGAGGUCAAGCAAAUCCUUAAAAGAUACCUCAGUUCGGAUUGCACUCUGCAACUCGAGUGCAUGAAGCUGGAAUUACUAGUAAUCGUGGAUCAGCGUGCCACGGUGAAUAGCGUUCCCGGGUCUUGUACACACCGCCCGUCACACCAUGGGAGUUGGUUCUACCUUAAGGCAAGGUUUAAACCCUUGACCCGGUAUAGUCAGCGACUGGGGUGAAGUCGUAACAGGUAACCAGGGCGAUUCCAGCACACUGCGCCGUACU
Molecule: ribosomal RNA, 400 nt
Filed under: uncultured bacterium
Lineage: Bacteria
Description: bacterial SSU rRNA
Rfam family: Bacterial small subunit ribosomal RNA
Source: RNAcentral